RNAcentral lists this ribosomal RNA (436 nucleotides) under uncultured microorganism. RNAcentral describes it as "bacterial SSU rRNA". It matches the Rfam family "Bacterial small subunit ribosomal RNA", at positions 467 to 903 of the family's 1533-position model. The record is from RNAcentral.
AAAUGACGGUACCUGACUAAUAAGCACCGGCUAACUACGUGCCAGCAGCCGCGGUAAUACGUAGGGUGCGAGCGUUAAUCGGAAUUACUGGGCGUAAAGCGUGCGCAGGCGGUUAUACAAGACAGGCGUGAAAUCCCCGGGCUUAACCUGGGAAUGGCGUCUGUGACUGUAUAGCUAGAGUGUGUCAGAGGGGGGUGGAAUUCCACGUGUAGCAGUGAAAUGCGUAGAUAUGUGGAGGAACACCAAUGGCGAAGGCAGCCCCCUGGGAUAACACUGACGCUCAUGCACGAAAGCGUGGGGAGCAAACAGGAUUAGAUACCCUGGUAGUCCACGCCCUAAACGAUGCUGACUAGUUGUUGGGAAUUUACAUUCUCAGUAACGUAGCUAACGCGUGAAGUCAGCCGCCUGGGGAGUACGGUCGCAAGAAUGAAACUCA